CUCUGUGGUCCUUCCGCCAAAACAUCUGGGCUCCUCCACCUCCCCGAGCCCAAAUGGCCAUGCAGGUCGAACACCAGCUCUGAAGUGGGCAGGGCCCCCAGGGAGGACAGCCACGGGAGCUCAGGCAGCGUCCCCGCCGGCACCUGCCUCUUUGUGCAGCGGCAGUCAGGGCCCUCGGCAAUGAGCUGAACUCGCAGUGCGGUUACGAGGGCAAAUAUGCUCCUUGAGGGCCGGCGAAACUCAGCAGCCCGAGGAAGGCUACUGAUGUGCAUUUCAUAGCCGGCUGCGAAUUUAGGAAAACAGACUUUGCUUCUCGUCACUCAGCCUACGUGACCAGGUUCAGACACAGUCUGCAGCCGCCCGCCUCGCACCCCCACUCUGCAGUGCGGUAUGUGGGGAGCUCAGGGCACAGCAGGCCAGGCCUCCCCGUGGACGUCCAGGAACCAGAACCAAACUGCCCAGGGCCCCAGAGGGGAAGAUGUCUCAGCAGACGGACAGCCGAGGCUCACAUGGCAAGCUCUGGCAGCCUGUCGGUCCCAGGAGAGAGGGGGAGAUGGCAGACGGGAAAAGAAGCCACCUGCUGGGAUGCUGAGACUCGCUUGCAGGAGCUUUUGGAACUGGCUGAGGUCACAGCUGGAACCACUGUGGCCAGCUGGAGUCUGCACAGCCCGAGUUUCCACCCCAGGGUCCCAGUAACUCCGCCCAAAUGUGCACACGAGACCUAUGAGGAGACAUAACUUUCCAGAACCCCCUUUUCUUCCACCAGCCACUUACUCAUCCAAGAACCCACCCCCGAACCUUCCCUAAUAGAAACACUGCAUUAAAGCCAGCGCGGGGAGACAGACGUGAACUGCGCCCCUGUCUCCUUGUGGGUUGGCCUAGAAUAAAAGCUUUUCUUUUCUCAAAAACCUGGUGUCAUAGUAUUGGCCUCCUGCACAUCGGGCAGCGAGCCCUUUUGCUCAGUAACAGGGAGACACAGGCAGAGCCCUUGGGGUGACAAGGGGACAGCCCUGAGCAGCAGCGGCCCCAGCACGCUCCCCGGGUAGAGCAGUGAGCCCAUGAAUAAUGCUGCGCCUGCGCAGAAGGAACGAGGCUGACACCAACAUCCCUGCCCUGCGGGAGGAGGCUGCCUCCGCAGCAGCACCGUGAGCAGGGCCCUUGUGGAUCCACAGCACCGCGGGUCCCCAGCAGCCACAAGGACAGACCCACGCCAGCUCAAGAGACAGACUCACGCCAGCUCAAGAGACGCAGCAGUGACCACAGAGAGUGGCUGUGCACACUCCACCAGGAUAUGAGUGACGCGCCUCUGUGCACCAGCCCAUCAUCCACACUGUCCACGAGACCCUGGAGACAGCAUGGCCACUGCGGCCCAGGAACGCCGCCCACCCACCCACCUGCACGCCAGCCCCACCCAGGCGCUCACUUGAACAUGGCGAUGAGGAGCUUGGCAGGAGGGGGCCCUCGAGGCCUCCAGUCACUGCCAGGUCCCCCGCAGGCCUGAUGCUGCUCAUUUGGGUGACCUCAGCUGUCACCUCUGGGCCAGAAGUCCAGAAAGAGGCAUCUGUCUCCAGCCAGAUGCAGGUAGGAGGCCCCGGGGGCAGAGCUGCACCCAGGCUGGCCCGUGCCUCCGCCCAGGGUGUGCCACCCACCAGGGCACUGCCAGGGUCCCAGCCAGGGCCAGCACCAGGUCCCAAGCCUGGGGAGUUCAAUUUGGUGGAAAUAAUUUAAAAGGAAAGGCCAGGAGCAGUGGCUCAUGCCUGUAAUCCCAGCACUUUGGGAGGCCAAGGCGGGCGGAUCACCUGAGGUCAGGAGUUUGAGACCAGCCUGGUCAACAUGGUGAAACCUUGUCUCUACUAAAAAUACAAAAAUUAGCCAGGCAUGGUGGCGGGCGCCUAUAAUCCCAGCUACUCGGGAGGCUGAGGCAGGAAAAUCACUUGAAUCCGGGAGGGAGGUGGAGGUUGCAGUGAGCCGAGGUUGCCUCAUUGCACUCCAGCCUGGGCAACAAGAGCAAAUGUCUGUCUCAAAAAUUAAAAAAAAAAAAAAAAAAAAAGAAUUGAAAAGGAAAAAAAUAACAACUAUCCCAAAGAGAAGGGAGACGUGGAGAUGUGGAAAAGGGAAGAUGUUGCAGAGGCAAUGUAUCGACAAGUGAAACGGGUGAUUGUGAAGAAAAAUAGCGUCCUGCGUGCAUAGAAAGUAAGGGCUAUUGAAUAUGGAAACAGCUUCUACCUUAAACAAAUCUCUAAGGAAACAUAGUAAGUUGUUAACAGUAGUUAACUCCGGGAGGUGAAAUUAUGAAUAACAUUCUUUCCUUAUACUUAUCUUGAAUUUUAAAAUUGUUCAACAAUGAGCAAUGCAUUAUUGGGUAAUCAAACCUAUUUUGAAUGUGUUACUAAUUUUCUAAGAUAGAAACGCACUCUGAUGGCUAUAAAUUCCUAUAUUAAUAAAGAAGAGCUGAAAUUAUUAACGUAACUUCCCACUGUAGUAAACUAGAAAAAGAAGAGCAAACCACCCUUUCACAAUAAAAACACUCAAGAAGUUAGGAAUCAAAGAGAACCUCUUUGAUUGAAAGGACAUUUACAAAAACCCUGCAGCUAACAUCAUACCCAGUGGGAAAGACUGGAUGCUUUCCCUGAGACAAGCCAAAAGCAAGCAGAAGGAAGGAAAGAAUGAAGAUUAGAAUAUAAAUGAGAUCGAGAAAUCAAAAACAAUGAAUGUCAACAAACCAAACUCAGUUCUUGAAAAAGAGCAACAAAAAUAAUUACCACCUUGUAGCUAAGACUGAUCAAGGAAAAAAAGAGAGAAGGCUCAAAUUGCUAAAAUCAGAAAUGAAAGAGAGGAUAUUACUACUAAUCUUACAAAAAGAAAAAGAACUCAAAGGAAAUCCUAGAGAAAAUUGUAUGCUAAAAAAAUUAGAUGAUCUAGAUGAAUGGACAAAUUCCUAGAAAGACACAAACUACCAAAGGUGACUGGAGAAGAAAUAGAAAAUAUAAAUAGACCUAUAACACAUAAAGAGAUUGAAUUAGUAAGUUAAAAACAUCACACAAAGAAAAGUCCACACUCAGAGGAGUUCACUGGUGAAUUCUACCAAAUGUUCACGGAAGAAUUAAAACCACUCUUUUACAAACUCUUCCAAAAUAUAAGAGGAGGAACUACUUCCUAAGCCAUUUUAUGAGGCCAGUAUUAUCCUGGUGCCAAAACUAGGCAAACAUAUUACAAGAAAAGAAAACCACAGACCAAUAACCUUCAUGAAUAUAGGUGCAAAAAUCAUCAAAAAACAGCUAGCAAAGUGAAUCCAGCACCAUGUAAAAGAGAUUAUUCACCAAGACCAAGUGGGACGUGUCCCAGGAACAUAAAGUUGGUUUAACAUUCGAAGGUCAAUUGAUGGAAUGCACCAUAUUAAUAGUAAAAGGAUCAAAGACCAUCUGAACAUUUGAAUAAGUGCAGGAGAAGCAGCUGACAAAGUCUACCACUCCUUCACAAUAAAAACACUCAAGAAACUAGGAAUAGAAGGGAACUUCUUCAACCUGAUAAAGGACAUUUAUAAAAGCCCCACAGCUAACAUCACACUUAAUGGUGAAAGGCUUGUUCCCUAAGAUCAGUGGACUCGUCUUAAGAUCAGGAGCAAAGCAAGGAUGUCCCCCAUUGUCCCUUCUGUUCAACAUUGUACUGGAGGUUCUAGCCAGGGCACUUAGGCAAGAAGAAGAAAUAAAAGGCAACCAGUUUGGAAAGGAACAAGUAAAACUCUCUUUUUGCAGAUGACAUGGUCUCGUAUAUGACAAAUCCACUAAAAAACUAUUAAAAGUAAUAAAGAAGUUUAGCAAGGUUUCAGAGUUCAAGAUCAAUCUACAAAAGACAAUGUAUGUCUACAUACCAGUCAUUAACAAUUUGAAAUGAAAUCAAUAGGACAAUUCUAUUUAUAAUAGCUUGGACAAUAAUAAAAUAUUUAGGAAUAAAUUUAACAGAAGAAGCAUUAAGACUUAUUACUGGAAACUAUAAAACAUUAUUGAGAGAAAUUAAAGAAUUAAAUAAGCAAAAAGACAUCCCAUGUUCACAAUCAAAAUCACAGAUGCCCUUUUUGGAGAAAUUGAUGAGCUGAUCCAAAAAUUCUUGUGAAGCCAAGGGACCCAGAGGCCAAAGCAAUCCUGGAAAAGAACAAAUUAGGACUCACACUUCCGAAUUUCAAAACUUACUACAAGGCUACGCUCACCAAGACAGCACGGUCAAAACUUACUACAAGGCUACGCCAACCAAGACAGUGCGGUCAAAACUUACUACAAGGCUACGCUCACCAAGACAGUGUGGUCAAAACUUACUAUAAGGCUACGCUCACCAAGACAGUGAGGUCAAAACUUACUACAAGGCUACGCCAACCAAGACAGUGCAGUCAAAACUUACUACAAGACUACGCUCACCAAGACAGUGCGGUCAAAACUUACUACAAGGCUACGCUCACCAAGACAGUGCGGUCAAAACUUACUACAAGGCUACGCUCACCAAGACAGUGUGGUCAAAACUUACUACAAGGCUACGCUCAACAAGACAGUGUGGUCAAAACUUACUACAAGGCUACGCUCACCAAGACAGUGUGGUCAAAACUUACUAUAAGGCUACGCUCACCAAGACAGUGAGGUCAAAACUUACUACAAGGCUACGCCAACCAAGACAGUGCGGUCAAAACUUACUACAAGGCUACGCUCACCAAGACAGUGCGGUCAAAACUUACUACAAGGCUAUGCCAACCAAGAGAGUGCAGUCAAAACUUACUACAAGGCUACACCAAGACAGUGUGGUCAAAACUUACUACAAGGCUACACCAACCAAGACAGUGUGGUCAAAACUUACUACAAGGCUACGCCAAGACAGUGCAGUCAAAACUUACUACAAGGCUACGCCAAGACAGUGCAGUCAAAACUCACUACAAGGCUACGCCAACCAAGACAGUGCGGUCAAAACUUACUACAAGGCUAUGCCAACCAAGACAGCGCGAUCAAAACUUACUACAAGGCUACGCCAACCAAGACAGUGCGGUCAAAACUUACUACAAGGCUAUGCUCACCAAGACAGUGUGGUUCUGGCACAAGGACAGACAUCAGUGGAGUCAAACUGAGACUCUAGAAAUAAGCCCUUAUGUUAAUGGUCCACUGAUUUUCAACAAGGAUGCCAAGAUGCUUCACUGGGGAAACAACAGUCUUGUCAACAAAUAGUGCUGGGACAACAGGAGAGCCACAACGAAGACUGACCCUUACCGCACACCAGGGCAAACAAAAAGCGAAAGCUAUAAAACACUUAGUAGAACACAGGCAUAAAUCACGGCAAUGGUUUUCGCUAGGACACCAAAAGCACAAUGAUCAAAGAGAUUGAUAAGUUGAACAUCAUCAAAAUUUCAAAAGCUCGUGCAUCAAAUGACACCAUAAAGAAAAUAACAAGUCAGUGCACAGAUUGACAAAAAAAAUUCAAAUCAUACCUUUGGUAAGAGACUGGCAUCCUUACGUAAAGAACUCUUACGACUCAAUAAUAUAAAAGACAACUCAAUAAUAUAAAAGACAACUCAAUUGAAAAAUGGGCAAAGAUGGCUGGGGGCAGUGGCUUAUGCCUGUAAUGCCAGCACUUUGGGAGGCCAAGGCGGGUGGAUCACGAGGUCAGGAGAUCGAGACCAGCCUGGCCAACAUGGUGAAACUCUGUAUCUACUAAAAAUACAAAAAUUAGCCAGGCGUGGUGGCGUGCGCCUGUAGUCCCAGCUACUCGGGAGGCUGAGGCAGGAGAAUCACUUGAGCCCGGGAGGCAGAGGUUGCAGUGAGCUGAGAUCGCACCACUGCAUUCCAGCCUGGGUGACAGAGCGAGACCCUGUCGGAAAAAAAAAAAAAAAAAAAAAGGGCAAAGGAGAGGGAGAGACAUUUCUUGAAAGAAGACUUACAGACGACGAGGUUAGCAGAGGAGGAGAUGCUCAGCAUGGCGGGUCCUUAGAGAAAUGCCCGUCAAAGCGACAAGGAGAGCCACUUCUCACCCACCGGGAUGCGAGCUUUGUUUUUUUAAUGGACAAUAACAAAUGUUGACAAGAAGGUAGAGAAAUUGGAAUCCUGGGACUGGGCAGGCAGGAAUGUGGAAUGCGGCCGGUUCUUUGGAAAACAGCCCAGCACGUCCACAAAAACUUAAACAUGGAGUUCCCAUAUGAGCCAGCCGUGCAUUCCUAGGUGUCUAAGAGAAAUAAAAACAUACCCACACAAAACCCUGUAAAUAACUGUUCAUGCUACGUUAUUCACAGCAUGUGAAAAGUGGAAACGGCCCUGCGCGGUAGCUCACACCUGUCAUCCCAGCACUUUGGGAGGCCGAGGCGGGUGGAUCACCUGAGGUCAGGAGUUCAAGACCAGCCUGUCCAACAUGGUGAAACCCCAUCUCUACAAAAAAAUACAAAAAUUAGCCAAGCGUGGUAGCAGGUGCCUGUAAUCCCAGCUACUCGGGAGGCUGAGGCAGGAGAAUUGCUUGAACCCAGGAGGUGGAGGUCGCAGUGAGCCAAGAUUGUGCCACUGCACUUUGGCCUGACUCCCUCUCGGGAAAAAGAAAACAGAGCGAGACUCCCUCUAGGGGAAAAAAAAAAUUAAAUAUUAAUUAAUUUAAAAUUUUUUAAUUAAAAAAUUAAAUAUUAAUUUUUUUUAAAAAAAAGGAAAAGUGGAAACAACCCAUAUGUCCACCAACUGAUGAAUGGAUGAACAAAAUGUGGUGUGUCCACACAGCGGGGUCCUCUUCAGCCAUAAACGGGAAGUAAAUACUGAUACACGGUGACAAACCUUGAAAACGGGACAUCAAGUGAAAGAAGUCAGACACCAAAGACUGCCUAUUACAUCAUCCAGUUUCUAUGAAACGCCCAGAAAAGGCAGCUCACAAGUAGCUUCGUGGGUGGCUGUGGCUGAGGGGAGGGGAACGGGAGUGACUGUGAGUAUGCAGGGUCUUUUCAGGGUGAUGCAGAUGUUAUAAAGUUAGAUUCUGUAAAGAUACUGAAAACCACUGACAGGUGCACUUUAUCCAGGUGAAAUUUCUCUCAAUGAAGCUGUUAAAAAAAAAAAAAAAAAAAAAAAAAACCUUCUAUAUGAAAAGUGUUCUCUCUGGCAGGCAUGGUGGCUCACGCCUGUAAUCUCAGCACUUUGGGAGGCCAAGGGGGUGGAUCACUUGAGCUCAAGAGUUCGAUACUAGCCUGGGCCACAUGCUGAAACCCCCAUCUCUACAAAAAAUACAAAAAUUAGCCGGGUGUGUUGGCGUGCACAUGCAGUCCCAGCUACUCAGCAGACGGGUGGGAGGAGGACUUGAGCGCAGGAGGUGGACGUGCCACUGCACUCCAGCCUGGGUGACAGAGCAAAACCCUGUCAAAAAAUGGAAGGAAGGAAGGGAGGAAGGGAGGAAUGAAUUAUUUCCAUCAAGAGAAGAAGGAAGUUAUUUCUGAUUGAGGUGAGAGGGAAAGGGGAUACAGGGUGACAUUCCAUUUCAGGGGGCUGUCAGCUGAUGCCCCAGGUGCCCUCGGCCCACUCUGACCUCUGCGUGGCACCACUCACCCCCACCAGGCCCCCCUCCUCCCUCCCCUGGUGGGGCCCCUUCUACUUCCUGCCACAGGAGCUGGGGAAUGAAUGCCCCCAGGGAGGACACCGGCCAGGUGGGAACCGCAGGACCCCCUGAUGGAGCCGGCCUCACUCCCACUCAUGCGGCCCCUUUCCAGCCUCUCUCCUGCUUCCCGGCAGCACCACCCGAGCUCCCAUGGCGCCCGGCUCCUACCGUCGAUGUAGCCCGGGAUCUGCCCGAAGAUGGUGAGGUAGGAGUGGUAGACGGCCCCUCGGAACAGCCAGUCCACCCGGCGCUCGUUGUGGAUGAGGAUGGCCUGCUUGGCCACCCCGAAGGACACCACCCACACAGCCAGCAGGAAGAGGAAGAAGAAGACGUCCUUCAUCUGCAGGACAGAGAGUGUGUGGGCUACACUCUCCUGGCCCCCGAUGCUCACUGGGCCCAGAGGCAGGCCCAGCAGCGGUGGAGACAGCACUGCCACUCACAGCACAGACACGGCAUGCAGGAGGCUCCCAGGAGCAGUCCUGGGGCUGCCCCCACACCCUCGUGGACUGCCGACAUCUUUGUGCUAGCACCACAAAGUGCAAGAGGGGUCAGACAUAACCGUGACCCAAGGAGGAAAGCUCCUAGAGCUGAAUCAGAGGCCAGGAAUGAGUGCGGUCAGACAUAACCGUGACCAAGGAGGAAAGCUCCUAGAGCUGAAUCAGAGGCCAGGAAUGAGUGGGGAUCAGAGGGGAGAAUGAGGGAAGGCUUCCUGGAAGAGGUGACGUACAGGCAAAGAUACGAGAAGGGCAUUCUUGGGAGCCCAAGGGGCAAAGCAGGGACGGGGAACCUACAGGUGUGUUUAAGCCCCAGUCCGAGCCACUGGCAAGGGGCCUGCCCUCCCCGAGGCCCACCCUGGGCUGCAGGCCGCGAUGGAGCCGGUGCCCCCGCCCCCUUACCAUCCGCUUCACAAUGAUGAUCUUGGGCCCCAGCGUCUUACUGAUGGUAAAAAUGUGCAUGAGCCGGAGGCAGAACAGGAUGAAGUCCAGAGAGAGGAUGACGCGCCCGGGGUACAGCGUCGCCGGGAUGAGCCUGGCCGCCGGGCAGAAGCACACACAUCUCAGCCACCUGCUCACAGCAGCCCCCAGAGCUGUCCCCCGUCGCCCCUCCACCUGUCCUAGCCCAGGUGGGCCCUGGAGGCAAAGGGCUCUGGUGGGCCCUGCAUCCCAGGUGUUCAAAGCUGGCAUGAGAUUGAGGAAUAGAGCCUCCCACUUUUCUUCAGACGCCCAGCCCCACAGGGCAGCCUGGCAUGGGGGCACCUGGAGAGCCAGCAGUUAGCCAGGGCCCUAUUGCCUCCGAGAAAGGGGGCCGCGGCCUCGCAGAGACACGAGAGCAUCACAGGCAGUGCAGUGAGCCCACAGUAGGGAGGCAGAGGGAGAAAGCGGCAGCCGCGUGUCCGUGGAGCUGGGACAAUUCCAGAGGUUGCCAUCUAUGGCCCCUUGCACAUGGACAAUCUCAGCUCUGCCAGGAGCUCUCAUGCCCCUUCUGUGCUCCCUCAACAAUCCCAAGGGUAGGUGGGGCGCUGUUGCCUGGACACCCAUUGGACAGAUGACAAUCCAGGGUUCACAGACGAGCUGAGCCUCACCCGGUGUGGCUGGUUCUGGGCCCGGCCUGUGCUCAUCCCCUGCAGGGCUGGCUGCCUCAGACGGGCCCGCCAUCGGGGUGAGGCCACUCACCUGCAGGUCAGCCCUGCCACGAAGAGCAAGAUUGCGCCGACGUCCAGCUUAUUCCAGAAGUCACUGAAGUACAAGGCUGCCUUCUUCAUCAGCCCGCACUCGUCAGGGUCAUAGAAGAGCUACUGGGAAGAGGGGCGGUAGGAAGGCAGACAGGUUGUCACUCUUACUAUCCUCACUGUCACUGUCACAUCACUAUCCACUAUCAUCAUCACAGUCACUGUCACUAUCAUCACUAUCACUGUCACUAUCAUCACUACCCUUGCUGUCACCAUCACUGUCAUAUCACUAUCCACUAUCAUCACAGUCACUGUCACUAUCAUCACUAUCACUGUCACUAUCAUCACUAUCCUUGCUGUCACCAUCACUGUCAUAUCACUAUCCACUAUCAUCACAGUCACUGUCACUAUCAUCACUAUCACUGUCACUAUCAUCACUACCCUUGCUGUCACCAUCACUGUCAUAUCACUAUCCACUAUCAUCACAGUCACUGUCACUAUCAUCACUAUCACUGUCACUAUCAUCACUAUCCUUGCUGUCACCAUCGCUGUCAUAUCACUAUCCACUAUCAUCAUCACAAUCACAGUCACUGUCACUAUCAUCACUAUCACCGUCACUAUCAUCACUGUCACUAUCAUCACUAUCACUAUCAUCACUAUCAUCACGGUCAGCAAAUCCGAACAUUGGUUCUGAUCUGAAGAGAGCUGGGUCAGUGAGGGAGAUGGGAACAGGACGUGGAGGAACAAUGCAGAAUAGCGCUGGCAGCAGCUACCUCGGCCCCCUGCUCACUCAGCACCUGUGUGUGCAUAUAUGUGUAUGUACAUAUAUUCUGCAUGUAUGUGUGUAUACGUGUGAAUAUGUAUGUGUGCACAUAUGUGUGUGUAUGUAUGUGUGCAUUCUGUAUGUGUCUGCAUGUAUUUGUAUGUGUAUGCAUGUGUGUAUAUGUGUAUGUGCAUGUAUGUGUGCAUGUAUAUGUGUAUGCACAUACAUUUGCAUGUAUUGUGUAUGUAUGCAUGUUUGUGUGUGUGCAUGUGUAUGUGUAUCUGUGUGUCUCUGUGUAUAUGUGUAUUUGCAUGUUUUUGUGUGUGCAUGUGUAUAUAUGUGUAUGUGUCUGUAUGUGUGUGUUCAUAUGUGUAUGUUCAUUCAUGUGUGCAUAUGUAUAUAUGUGUGUGUAUGUGUGUACAUGUUUGUUCAUGUGCAUAUGUAUGUAUAUGUGUAUAUGUGCUUGGGUGAUGUGUAUAUUUGUGUAUGUGCAUGUGUGUAUGUGUAUGUGUGUAUGCAUGUGUAUGUGCAUGUGUGUAUGUAUGUGUGCAUAUGUGUAUGUGUAUAUUGUGUACAUGUGUAUGUGUGUAUGCAUGUGUGUGCUGUAUAUGUAUGUGCAUGUGUAUGUAUGUGUAUAUUUGUGUGUAUGCACACGUGUAAUGUGUGUAUGCAUGUGUGUGCAUGUGUAUACAUGUGUUUAUCUGUGUAUAUUUGUAUGUGUGCAUGCAUGUAUAUGUGUAUGCAUGUGUGUGCAUCUCUAUAUGCAUGUAUGUGUGUCCAUGCAUAUGUGUGUAUGCAUGUGUAUAUGUGUGCAUGUAUGUGUAUGCAUGUGUGUAUGCAUGUGUGUGCAUGUGUGCAUGUGUGUAUACAUAUGCAUGAAUGUGUGUGCCUAUGUGUGUACUGUGUGCAUGUGUGUGCAUGUAUGUGUGUACAUAUGCAUGUAUGUAUGUGUGUGUGCCUAUGUGUGUGUGCAUUUGUGUGCAUGUGUACAUGUGUGUGCAUGUACCUGUAUGUGUAUGCAUGUGUGUGCAUGUGUGUGUGUGUUGGAGCAGCGCCCUCAAUGUCAGGCGCCAGCUGCCUUCCCACAAGGAUCUUUGUUCUGUCAGGGGCCACACUGUUUCUUUAGCAGGCCAAGAGUGCAGGACCUGGCAGGGGCUGUGGGAGCCCCCAUUUGGCCUACUUGGCAGGAGUCCCCACACCCUCCCUAGCCCCAGGCCCCAGGACCCAGCAGCUGGACAGGUGGGGCAGGUGACCAGCAGGACCAACCAGGGCCCUCCCUGGAUCACAGACAGAUGCAGGGAGAAGGAAGUGCCCCCUCUGCUCUCAGGCUGCUGCCCAUGGGGCUGGGGCUGGGGGUGCAUGGAGGCCUCUGGCCCCUUGUAGAGAGGGUCUGGUGGCAGAAGCCCUGUGGCAAGAGGAGAGCCAAGGAGAGCCCAGCAGAGCCAGGGCCACAGCACAGCUCCCAGGCCCCGCCAAGUCCUGGACCUGAUCUUCCUUCCUGGGGACGCCGGUGCCUCCCCCAGGGCCCCAGUAGGCAGUGGUAUUUACACAGUGCACACUGCUUUCUAACUGGGGUAACUGGGGGCCUGGUGGUCCACCAAGGUUAGAGAGCAGAGGUAAGUCUAAGCCAGGACCACUGCCCCGUGGGCUGACCCCACCCCCUCACCACUGCCCUGAGGGUUCCAAGGACCUAGUUCCCAUUCACCGGCUGCCAGCAGGUGCAGGCACCGUGGGGGCACAGUGGAGACCCCACACAGUAAGGGAUUCGCCCCACCUGGGGGGCAGCUUGGCCUCGCCCAGCUCCAGGGAGAUAGCCUCUGAGCCCUUGGAAUGUCCGCCUGAUGAGGGUGUCUUUGUUCCUGGGGCCUGGGCCAUGCCAGGUGGUCCCACAGUGUGAUUUGGGGUGGGGCCCCGGGCAGUUUUCAGUUUGACCUUUGGAGGGCUGGAGACUGAGGUCAACCAUGUGGUGUCAGCCUCGCCUCUGUGACUGACCUCCAGUAGACACCAAGGCCCGCGAGCCUCUCUGGGGACGUGCCUCCAUGCAUGAGGCCACACAUCAUCACCGGGAGGAUGGAGUGCCACCCACACCUCCACAGGGAGGGACUGGCCGGAUGCCCUGGGCUCAGAGCUGUCCUGGAUGCAGCUGCGUCCCUCCCCCUGGCUGGUUUAGUCUGUAGACUGUUGCUUAAUAAACCAUAAGUGAGCAUUGCCACUCCCCAGCGUCUGUGGGUCCUUCUGGCUCGUUAUUGAACGUGAGAGGGGUCUUAGGGACCCCACACCUUGCACUGCUCUUCCUGGGGGAAGGGACAUACUCAUAGUCCACAAGGUCAGGGCAUCCACCUUGAGCUGAUCAGCCGGUCUCCAGGAGGGAAGGAUGCCUGGGCCGAGGGAAAGCAGGGAAGCAGGCGCAGGGGGCAUGAGGAGGGAGGGGCUUGGAGGGCAGCGCCCCAGCCACCCAUUUUGGGGAGGAAACACCGGCUCUGCUCAGCUUGCAGGGAGCUGGGCAGGCUAGAUGGGGUGGGCUCUAAGCCAUGGGUCCCCUAUGAGAAUGCAGCCAAGUGGGUGGCCCCGGGCUGGGGCGUGGAAAAGCG
Molecule: long non-coding RNA, 12616 nt
Filed under: Homo sapiens (human)
Lineage: Eukaryota; Metazoa; Chordata; Mammalia; Primates; Hominidae
Description: non-protein coding TRPM2-AS:8
Source: RNAcentral